Molecule: long non-coding RNA, 2973 nt
Filed under: Brachypodium distachyon (stiff brome)
Lineage: Eukaryota; Viridiplantae; Streptophyta; Magnoliopsida; Poales; Poaceae
Description: long non-coding RNA (BDIS_LNC001744)
Source: RNAcentral
CCUCCUUAGCACUCUGCAGAAGAUCACAAAUCCACAAGAGUCAUCCAACUAUCGCUUUGAGGGAGGCCUACCAUCGUCGUCAUCAUCACCAUCAUCAUCAUCAUCAUCGUCGUCGUCAUCAUCUUCACCACCCGAUCUCUUCCUCUUUGAUGAGGAUUGAGCCUUCACAGAAUCCUCACCAUCUUCAGCAUCCUCAUCAUCGUCAAUCUCCUCAUCCUCAGCACCAUCACCAUUUUCUUCCGGCUCAAAGUCACUGGAGUGCUCUUCAUCUUCAGCACGGCCAAGUGGCUGCACCAAGUAGUCAGUUCCCAGCUCCUCCUGCCAAAUAUCAACAAAAAGUUAAGUGACAUGACUAAUUUAACUAUGACAUCUGACAAACCUUAGAUGACCAGUUCCUAGACUGACAUAGCAUCUUCACUCUCUUCCACAACCAUGUUUAAUAAAAACUACAGUUUAAACAAUUUCUGGGAUCAGACUGACGUGCAAUUUUUCAUCAUUGUAAAAAUAAUCCAUCAAGGACUUAUGAGAUGAAAUAAUCGUCAUUUCCCAUAUGAAGGUAAAUGCUUGCUAAGCAACUAAGGUUCCGCACAUUUGUGGGAUCAGACUGACGUGCAAUUUUUCAUCAUUCUGUAAAAGUCCAUAAGGACAUCUGAAGUGAAUGAAUCAUCAUUUCCCAAAUGAAGGUAUACCAAUUAAGGCAAUAUAAAGGACUGACAACGCAAGAUAAUAUAUCUUAUCUGUACAAAUGUAAAUUGACAAAAUUGUACAACAGCAAAAUGACUUGCAGGUUCUGUAUCCAGUGGUCAUGCAGCUAGAUUUAGCAGCAGGGAUGAGAAAUCUUCCUCAGAAACAGCACCUAAACAAAUCUUAAUUUCCCUACACUUAUUUAAAUAAUCAGAGUUCAUUAUGUCAGAUCUACUCCAUACAUAGGGCAGGAUCAGACUGACGUGCAAGGAUUAAUCACAGGUAGAUUUAAUCUACCCUCAGAAACAACCUCUGGAAAAUGUUUAUCAUCAUUUCCCACAACAAGAGCAAGCAUUAUAAUCUUUCAGAUUACACAAUAAGAUUAUUUAGCCCUUAUUCUGAAGUACCAUGCAAGAAAAAAGGUAGCUUGGCACCUCAAUUAUCUUUUUUAAGUAAAGAGAUAAAGGAGGAAACAAAUGUUUGACUUGUGCUUUGGAUCAGAUAGGCAAAUCAGUUAUUUUACAGCACGGGAAGAGCUCUAGACUCAUCCUCAGAAACAGCCUCUGAUAAUCAUCAUCUCCACAAACAAGUGAACAAGACAACACUUGGAUAAAUUAUUCGGCACAAAUUCUGAACUAUCAGGCCACAAAAUAGGUCGCUUCGCACCUUAAUUAUUUUUUGAAAUAAUAAAGAGAUAAAAGAGGAAACAAAUGCUUGACCGGUGCUUGGGAUCAGAAAGGCAAAUCAGUUAUUUUGCAGCAUAGGGAGAGCUCUAGGCUCAUCCUCAGAAACAGCCUCUGAUAAUCAUCAUCCCCACAAACACAUGAACAAGACAACAUUUGGAAUAUUUAAGAUCAGAUGAUCUUCUUUCAGAACAGAUUCCAAAGCAUCAUAUAUAUAUAUAUAUAUAUAUAGGAACCAUCUUUUAAAAUUGAACAGAAAACAGAGAAAAAGAGAGAAAAAUGUUUUGAGUAAUGUUUUGGAUCAGCAAGGCAACUCAGUUAUUUGCAGCAUUGGGAGAGCUCUAGACUCAUCCUCAGAAACAGCCUCUGAUAAUCAUCAUCUCCAAGAACACUAAACAUGACCAACAACGCUUGCAAUAUUGAAGCUUAUAUCGUCUUUACUUCUUUGAGAAGAUAUUUCAACCCAUCAUAGAGGCUACCAUCUUUUAAAAUUAAACAGAAAAUAGGUCGCUUGGCACCUAAAAUAUAUUUUUUUUAAAGAGAGAAAGGAAACUAGCGCAAAUCGGAUCUAUUCGGAACAGCCCUUACCGUGCAAUAAAUAAAAUAGAAACUAAAUUCGAAAAGGGAGCAGCACUAUGCCUUCACUAUUGUAGAUAAGAGGUGGGCCUGUGAUCUGAUGGGCUACGGUACAGACCACACAAAAAGGCGUGUAGGUGGAUAGGCCUAUUUAAUGGCAAUUACCGCACCAGAGAGGACUGGGAAAGGUAACGGUAUUUGCAGAGUACAAUCGCCUGGAGUAGAUCUGAACGAACAACACGACGAGAGAAAAAUUGUACAUCGGGCAAAAGUAAUUUUUUUCUUCUAAAAUCCCAGAUCUAGUUGCCAACGCUAGACGGGACAUCCCAUCAACUCUUCUCUGCCACUUAUUUUCAGAUCUGAAAGAUACUGCUUCCAUACGGCAGAUAAACGACGCCUGAAGCAUAUAUCUUCCGGACCUUCGGAGAGAAAAGGCCCGAAGAAUCCCACACAAACUAAGCAAAUUGACUCUAGGCAGAUGCAUCUUGUUUGGCAAGACCAUGCUGAAAAAAUCGGUUAUUUUUUAAGAAACGAGUAUGACAGAUCUGAGAAUUCCUCACAUAGAUCGAAGAACAAAGGCAUGUUCAACUGAGAAAAUCAACAGCAGCAUAUACUUGAGAUAACAAAAAAAAUUAAAAUUGGAGGCGGAAAUUUAUACCUCGGGCUCCUCCUCGCCCUCAGCUUCAUCGUCGUCGUCCUCUUCUUCUUCGUCGUCGUCGUCGUCGUCGUCGUCGUCGUCGUCGCCGCCCUCCUCUUCAUCGCCGCCGUCGUCCUCCUCGUCGGAGAUGUCCACAACCUGCUGCCCAGCAGCCCCCUUCUCCCCCUCCGCCUCCUCGUCGUCCUCUUCCUCCUCAUCCCCAUCGUCCUCGGCGUCCUCGUCGCCGUCGUCCUCACCAUCGACCGCCUCCUCCUCACCUUCCUCAUCAACAUCGACAACCUCUUCCUCCGCCGCCUUCUUGGCCGCGGCGGCGGCGGCGGCGGCCUUGAUGCGAGCGAUCUCCGCCGCCCGCUCGUCCCCUUCCACUGCCGG